This 638-nucleotide long non-coding RNA is filed under the name Elaeis guineensis (African oil palm). RNAcentral's name for it is "long non-coding RNA (EGUI_LNC077608)". The record is from RNAcentral. Lineage: Eukaryota; Viridiplantae; Streptophyta; Magnoliopsida; Arecales; Arecaceae.
UUUGCUCAAUCAAAUUAAGUCAAUUAGUAAUCUAAUUACUAAUUAAUUCUUUAUUAAUAGUAGAAUCUCAGUCCUAGUGGGACUCUCUCACAAAGUCUUUGUUCAAAUAGGAUUUUUCACCAGAGUCACAAUCCAAUUGGACUCUUCAGUCAUCUGAUCUGAUCAAAUCUUCUAAUGCGUGUGACCCCAUAGGUUUGAACCUAAGCCGGUAGUAUAGAAAUAACUUUCUAUACCAAUCAAUAUUACCAUCUAGCAAUGGUUACCCAAUGAUCGGAUAGAUCGAAAUAUUGCAAAGCAACCUUCUAGAACCUACUAGUGUAUGGUUACAAUAUAAUUCAUCUCUUUAACCCAAAUGCUCAAGGUGACCUAGGGUUUAACUAUCAAUCCUAAUUUAGUCGACUACACUGUACUUCAAUCUUUUAAAUCCAUCUCAUGGAUUACCUUGGCUAAGGUUUUACUGAAUCAAAAUAUAUUGAUGCAUAUCUCCUACUAAUUCAGCGGGGUCAAUUCCAUCUUGACUCACACACUGACUUGAUAAGUACUUGAUUGCAUCCAAUAUUCUUCAUCACUAACAUAGAAACUCAGAUGAUUCAGUACAGAAGUACAGUGAGUUGCUUACAAGUCACUGUGGUGGUCUC